GAUGAAGAACGUAGCGAAAUGCGAUACGUAAUGUGAAUUGCAGAAUUCAGUGAAUCAUCGAGUCUUUGAACGCACAUUGCGCCCUCUGGUAUUCCGGAGGGCAUGCCUGUCCGAGCGUCAUUGCUGCCCUCAAGCACGGCUUGUGUGUUGGGCCCGCCCCCCGAUCCCGGGGGGCGGGCCCGAAAGGCAGCGGCGGCACCGCGUCCGGUCCUCGAGCGUAUGGGGCUUUGUCACCCGCUCUGUAGGCCCGGCCGGCGCUUGCCGAUCAACCAAACUUUUUUCCAGGUUGACCUCGGAUCAGGUAGGGAUACCCGCUGAACUUAAGCAUAUCAAUAAGCGGAGGA
This 344-nucleotide unclassified non-coding RNA is filed under the name soil metagenome. RNAcentral describes it as "partial contains 5.8S ribosomal RNA, internal transcribed spacer 2, and large subunit ribosomal RNA". The stretch from base 1 to 120 matches the Rfam family "5.8S ribosomal RNA", at positions 35 to 154 of the family's 154-position model. The record is from RNAcentral.